AGUGAACGCUGGCGGUAGGCCUAACACAUGCAAGUCGAAUGGCAGCACAGUAAGAGCUUGCUCUUACGGGUGGCGAGUGGCGGACGGGUGAGGAAUACAUCGGAAUCUACUUUUUCGUGGGGGAUAACGUAGGGAAACUUACGCUAAUACCGCAUACGACCUACGGGUGAAAGCAGGGGAUCUUCGGACCUUGCGCGAUUGAAUGAGCCGAUGUCGGAUUAGCCAGUUGGCGGGGUAAAGGCCCACCAAGGCGACGAUCCGUAGCUGGUCUGAGUGGAUGAUCAGCCACACUGGAACUGAGACACGGUCCAGACUCCUACGGGAGGCAGCAGUGGGGAAUAUUGGACAAUGGGCGCAAGCCUGAUCCAGCCAUACCGCGUGGGUGAAGAAGGCCUUCGGGUUGUAAAGCCCUUUUGUUGGGAAAGAAAAGCAGCAGGUUAAUACCCCGCUGUUCUGACGGUACCCAAAGAAUAAGCACCGGCUAACUUCGUG
This 492-nucleotide ribosomal RNA is filed under the name uncultured bacterium. Its description in RNAcentral is "partial 16S ribosomal RNA". It matches the Rfam family "Bacterial small subunit ribosomal RNA", at positions 29 to 507 of the family's 1533-position model. The record is from RNAcentral.